CCCUGUUGAACUUGACUCUAGUCUGGCUCUGUGAAGAGACAUGAGAGGUGUAGCAUAAGUGGGAGGUUCUGCCGUCAGUGAAAUACCACUACUUUCAUCGUUUCUUUACUUAUUCGGUUAAGCGGAGAGCGAGCCUUGCGGCUCACGUUUCUGGCUUUAAGUCCUCGGUCUCGGACCUUGGGCGAUCCGCUCCGAAGACAGUGUCAGGCGGGGAGUUUGACUGGGGCGGCACAUCUGUUAAACGAUAACACAGGUGUCCUAAGGCAAGCUCAGCGAGGACAGAAACCUCGCAUAGAGCAAAAGGGCAAAAGCUCGCUUGAUUUUGAUUUUCAGUACGAAUACAGACCGCGAAAGCGUGGCCUAUCGAUCCUUUUGACUUUGAGGGUUUCAAGCAAGAGGUGUCAGAAAAGUUACCACAGGGAUAACUGGCUUGUGGCAGCCAAGCGUCCAUAGCGACGUUGCUUUUUGAUCCUUCGAUGUCGGCUCUUA
This 489-nucleotide ribosomal RNA is filed under the name uncultured organism. Its description in RNAcentral is "eukaryotic LSU rRNA". It matches the Rfam family "Eukaryotic large subunit ribosomal RNA", at positions 2411 to 2893 of the family's 3401-position model. The record is from RNAcentral.